This is a long non-coding RNA of Larimichthys crocea (large yellow croaker), 1534 nucleotides long. RefSeq lists it as uncharacterized. Lineage: Eukaryota; Metazoa; Chordata; Actinopteri; Sciaenidae. The transcript has 3 exons. The record is from RefSeq and is a predicted model, not a curated record.
CUUGCCGUCACUUUUUUGUACCCUUUUUCUUGGUUUCAGUAUAAAUUCCAGCCUUUCCAUGUGUUUCGUUUUCUUGGACCUUAUGGACUUUGGAUAUCGCCUACUUCUUUACGGAUUUACCUGUUUGGACUGCCCUUCCUGGUUUUGAACUGAGGCUGCCCAACAACUCCAGCUGCAUUCCCCAAGAUAUGAAGUGAUGUCCGUGUCCGGGAGGUCCAGGAUCUGGAGCGUCUUAUAUACAAACUGAUCUGGGAACAGUGAGGUCAAAGCACACCUAAAGCUACAGAAGUGAACAGCACCCCAGAGCUGUGAGGGGAUUCAAUGUCAGGCUCAAGGACGCUUCAGCAGGACGGACGGAUACAUGCUGACAUGUGAGGGCGUCAACGCGCGUCCUCCAGCUGAAGGGUACAUCGCUAUGAUCCCUGAGACGAAUUCAAGAUUAAUGACAUCGAUUUAUUCGUUAUUUUAUUUAUUUAUUAUUCGGAACAAACCAUGACCGAGCGCCUUUGUAGACUGGAAUACUGAAGUUAGACACUAUCAAACUAAAACUGUCGAAUAAAACCUCACAAGCUCCAGCGAGGUUUUCCCUCUGUGCUACCAUAAAGACGCCGUAACAUCUGUCUAUGUAAAAAUGGACAUGAACUGUAUGGUUAUUACAGAGCUGGAAGUGGUGGCAGCACAGAUAACAGCUGCUGGAGUAUGUAUAAUAUAAUAAUAUAGCUAUAUAUUAUCACACGUGACACCUGAGAAAGUUCAAUUUGUUAACAAAAGCUGAGAAAUAAAAUCAAAUGUUCGGAAGAAGUAGUUAAGUGAGCCUUGAGAUUAGAAUAUUUUACCACAGAUACACAAGUACUUUUUUUAGAUUUUAGUUUUCAGUCAAGACUUUAAAUUCAGACCUUUGUCUUUACUUUUCAGUGUUCAGCAUAGUUUGAAUUUUAGGUGAAAGUGUUUGUUUUUGUGUGCUUGUAGUUUUUUAAAUAUAUUCUGAAACAAUAUUUUUGUCGUCCUCCUACUUUUACCUCAUUAAAUUUUUUUGGUAAUUAGCUGUCACAUUUUCUUGGUGCCCUUUUAAAGUGACCAAAGUAAUUAACUCAUACUCAGAAAACUUUCUUAAUUUAAGUCAUGAGUGCAUAAUUCACAGACUCCUUCUUUACCUGGUAGUAGUAAAAAUAGUGGCAGCGAGUAGCUCUAAUAGCAAUGUGGUACUUGUGGAGGUGUUGAUUAGUAGUAUUGGUGCUGAUUGUAGCUCAGGAGGUAGAGCGGGUCGUCCACUAAUCAGAUGAUCUAUGGUUUGAUCCCUGCACGUCAAAGUGUACUUACUGAACCCCAAAUUGCUCUCGUAAGCUGUGCAACACCUUUACGCCUCAACACCUCCUAAAAACUUCUUCCUACUCCUUUUUGAACAUGUGCGAUUUAAUUUAAAUUUGCACUGGUUAAGAGAACUUAACAGUUGAGUUUGUGUGUGUGUGGGUUUGACCUGUUUUGGUUUUUUUUUUGUAUACAUCUUUUCUUUUUUAUUUUGGCUUUUAUAAAA